AUUGAACGCUGGCGGCAUGCUUUACACAUGCAAGUCGAACGGUAACAGGCCGCAAGGUGCUGACGAGUGGCGAACGGGUGAGUAAUGCAUCGGAACGUGCCCAGUCGUGGGGGAUAACGCAGCGAAAGCUGUGCUAAUACCGCAUACGAUCUAUGGAUGAAAGCGGGGGACCGUAAGGCCUCGCGCGAUUGGAGCGGCCGAUGUCAGAUUAGGUAGUUGGUGGGGUAAAGGCUCACCAAGCCAACGAUCUGUAGCUGGUCUGAGAGGGCACCCAGCCGCACUGGGACUGAGAGACGGGCCAGACUCCUACGGGAGGCAGCAGUGGGGAAUUUUGGACAAUGGGCGCAAGCCUGAUCCAGCAAUGCCGCGUGCAGGAAGAAGGCCUUCGGGUUGUAAACUGCUUUUGUACGGAACGAAACGGCGAGCUCUAAUACAGUUUGCUAAUGACGGUACCGUAAGAAUAAGCACCGGCUAACUACGUGCCAGCAGCCGCCGUAA
RNAcentral lists this ribosomal RNA (498 nucleotides) under uncultured bacterium. RNAcentral's name for it is "partial 16S ribosomal RNA". It matches the Rfam family "Bacterial small subunit ribosomal RNA", at positions 30 to 523 of the family's 1533-position model. The record is from RNAcentral.